RNA transcript from Nymphaea colorata (pocket water lily), 2879 nucleotides. It is a transcript of the gene named serine/threonine-protein phosphatase BSL2 homolog, with no coding region annotated. The record is from RefSeq and is a predicted model, not a curated record. The transcript has 6 exons. NCBI's taxonomy places the organism in Eukaryota, Viridiplantae, Streptophyta, Magnoliopsida, Nymphaeales, Nymphaeaceae.
GAGUUGUUCAAUGAACUCGGUUAGUUAAAGCGUGACUCGGUUCAAAAGAUACCUGGUUCGAGUUGUUGCAAGAAACGAUUCGCACUAAACCGCUUUCCAAAUGUGACACGAACGAUCGGGCGGCCUUCUUUCUUUCGCUCCUCCACUCAUCCUCGGUGGUCGUCAAGUCCUCCGUCGCCUUGCCUUGCAUCUUCUUCGACGCUCGUCGAGUUCUUCACUCCCGACUACCGCUCUCCCUGGCCGGCCGCCGCGUCCUCCAACUCUCCGACGGUCGAUCUCCCGUCCGGCGUCCUCAAGUGGAUCAUGUGGAGCAAAAUUGAUCUGUGAUCGUGGGUAUGAACUUGUUCGUGGAUGCUGUUUGGAGUAGUUUUUCGUGGAACAACCUCAUUCGUCAGUUCCCGUACCAUGAGUUUGUAGAUCGCUCAGCAAUGUACAGAGUGGGAUCAUUGUUCUAUGCAAUUUACUUUAUAGUUAGCUUCCCCAUGUUCAUAAGGUGAUGUUAAAAGCAGGAAAAUAUGAGCUUGUUCACAAGUUUUUUGGAAAAAUGAGAAAAAGAGGACUUGCUCCAAAUUCUCACACAUAUAAAGUUCUUAUGACUGCCUGUUGGAGAGAAGGUAAGAUAGACGAUGCUGUUGAAGCAGUUUUGGAUAUGGAACGGAGGGGAGUAGUUGGGUCGGCUAGUGUGGGAAACCUCAGAUGAUGAUUUCAAGGAACAAAGUAAUGCAAUACCGACUAUCUCUCGGCGUCAUGCGGGCGAAAUAGGCCUGAAAAUGUCAGCCCGAGAGAACUUGAUUCUUUUGGAUCUACAUGUUCUUGACCUGACACAGCAAAGACCCAGAUGGAACAGGUGUUGUCCAUAGAAUUUUCACCAGUCUUCAUUUUUUAUAGAAUUUUGGAUCUUUAGUCAUUAACCUCACACGACAUUGGUGGAAAGGUUUGCUUUGUUGUUUUUUUUUUUUUUGAGUGAAAUUUUAUAUCUUAUAGUCUGUAAGGGUUCAAAUAGGACGUGUUUAGGACGGUUUAUGUUCUUAUAAACUGUUUUAUUUUUUCUGCUUGAAGAUUUAUUUAGCAAAAGGUGCGAGGAUGUUGGCCAUUCCAUUACCAAAUCCAUUCAUGGGAUAGAUGAAACUCCUCAAACCUAGUAACUCCUGUAGAGUGUGAUGAAUUUCAUUUUGUUUGUCUCAAAUAUCAUUUGGGAUAAAUUAUUAAGGCUGGACCAUUAUUCCAUCUUAACCGAGUGUCUUCAACAUAACCCAGUCUUAGGAUUGAGCCUAGAAAACCUUUUAUCUCUUUUCAAAAGGACCAGUCAAUUUUGUACUCGAUUUUAAACUGUGACAUUUUUGGGAUUCAAUCCCAAGUUCUAGGUAGUGACUUUAGGACCUAGAACCCUCCCACUUGUCCUCUCCCUUAGCCCUUUCGCCCUUUCACACCCCGAACCAGCUUACUAUCCCUCAAGUGGAUCACAUGGUCAACUCGCCCCCUCCACCUCACCAUUUGCCCCUAGCCUCUCUUCUACUUCUGUGGGAGAGUCUUGGAGCUCAAUCCUCCCCAUCCUACAUUUUUGGAACCUAUAUUUGACCCACUUCCCUUGACCCGAUUGAGCCUAGAUUGGAACCCUAGGACCCACUUCACCUAACCAAGCCCAUUUCCUAGACCGUGCCUUGACCAAGCUGACCCUACCUAGCCCCAUCCCACCUAAGUCAACCCAAGCUACAAGGUUCACAAUUAGUCGGUUCCAGCCCUAGCCCUCAAGGAAGUUCCAGCCUUUGCCCUCAAGGAAGACCGCCCUCAAGGAAGUUCCAGCCCUAGCCCUCAAGGAAGACCGCAGGGUCCGCAUCCUUGUGAGUCUUGGAAUCGGUGGACCUUGUCACUGCCGGCCAUCUCCGGCUGCCACUGGCCGCCGCUGCCACUUUUCCGGCAUCCCUCCGGCGACUACUCCAACCGGAUCCCCACUUCAUUCGGCAAGUACCCGUGGUGCUCCUAGGCGUCUUCCGGCGAAAAGUCCCUACAACCGGGUGAUCUAGAAGGCUUCUUUAACCGCCGGCAUCCUCUUCAUACCUUGGAUUGUGUUUAUGCAGCCGGGCCUCUUCCACCGUGUAGUUGCAUUACCCGAGUGUGGAAUCUCACCUCGUGGUCCUUGGAUAUUAUUUCGCCAAGCUUGGCCGGUACUCUCUUUUUCACAAUUUAGCCUUUUACGGGUGGGUGUGGUUUGUUCGAUUGGCUUAGCCUCUUACGGGUGGGUGUGGUUUGUUCGAUUGGCUUAGCCUCUUACGGGUGGGUGUGGUUUGUUCGAUUAGGUUUGGUUUGAUGGUUUGCUUGAGUGAGUUGUGAGAGUUUUAUUCAUUGUAUCGUGGACGCUUGUACUGGCCUCACAUCUCUUAGUAUUUUGUAUAUGAUUAUCUUUUGGGAUUGGGUUAACCUUCCUUACCUAUUGGGAUUUUGAAGUCAGGAUUUGAUUUGUCCUAAGAGAGUUUGGGGGUAGGCACGGCCGUCGGCUUUGGACUUUGGUCGGCCACAGGCAAAACCUUACCAAUUUGGUAUCACAGCUUGAAGUCAUCUUGAAGGAAGUUGACAAAUUCGGCAACCUUUGGAGUAUACAUAGGGCAGAUUGAAGUUUCGGUUUUCUUGUCAGUGUCAUGUGGUGUAGCAGAUUUUGGAGUCUGUACACAUGUGUUAUGUUUUGCUUAAGUGUGGAGAUGGGGUUGUGCCUUAAGCUGGCUGAAAUUUUGUUGGCUGUGUACUUGAAACCUUUAAUCUGUCUUUUCUUUUUACUUUUAUUAGCGUAUUGGAGCUGCACCAGGACUAGCACCAGCGUCGUGUGACAUAGCAUCUAAUUAAUCUCUCUUUUGAAAAUAAAAUUUCCUUCCUCACAUAGCUGU